This 497-nucleotide ribosomal RNA is filed under the name uncultured bacterium. Its description in RNAcentral is "partial 16S ribosomal RNA". It matches the Rfam family "Bacterial small subunit ribosomal RNA", at positions 28 to 507 of the family's 1533-position model. The record is from RNAcentral.
GAUGAACGCUGGCGGCGUGCCUAAUACAUGCAAGUCGAGCGAACGGACGAGAAGCUUGCUUCUCUGAUGUUAGCGGCGGACGGGUGAGUAACACGUGGAUAACCUACCUAUCAGACUGGGAUAACUUCGGGAAACCGGAGCUAAUACCGGAUAAUCUUUUGAACCGCAUGGUUCAAAAGUGAAAGACGGUCUUGCUGUCACUUAUAGAUGGAUCCGCGCUGCAUUAGCUAGUUGGUAAGGUAACGGCUUACCAAGGCAACGAUGCAUAGCCGACCUGAGAGGGUGAUCGGCCACACUGGAACUGAGACACGGUCCAGACUCCUACGGGAGGCAGCAGUAGGGAAUCUUCCGCAAUGGGCGAAAGCCUGACGGAGCAACGCCGCGUGAGUGAUGAAGGUCUUCGGAUCGUAAAACUCUGUUAUUAGGGAAGAACAUAUGUGUAAGUAACUGUGCACAUCUUGACGGUACCUAAUCAGAAAGCCACGGCUAACUACGUG